ACGUGUAAAGAAGAGAGAGAGAUGGAUAUGAUGUAACUCACUUGAUCUUUAUUGGGACGAGGUCCGCACCACUAUCGUGGCCCGGUCAUGGUCCGCUGACGUUGUCACGGAGAAGGAGACGUCGCCUCACAAUCUAGACAGAGAGGUCACCACAGAAGUUGAGACUGAGAACCAACGAGUGGUUGGCAACGAAACUGUCGGGGCGUCGGUAGCACCGGCGAUGAUGUUCUCCCGACAGGGAACUCGCUUCACCUCAGUCCAACCUGAUGCCUCUUUAUAUACUGUGCUAAGUCUCCUUCAUAAACACAUCACAUCACUUGUUUUUCUUAUGCUUACACACCAAAAACAUAAACACGUCGUAAACAUGUCUUGGUUUACGAUAUUUCGCACAAGUCAAAAUAUUUACAACUUGUUACUCCGCGCUAUCUUAUCACUACACGCAUAUGGUCUAGGCUUAUUUGCUAUGUGGUUAGUUUGUAUUUUGUUCCUUUUGCCUGUUUACAUUUAGUAGGGGUUCGCACCUACUACAUAUUAUUUAUUUAUUCAUUUAUUUAUUACACUUUAUUUAUUAAAGGUUCGUACUCACUACACUAUAACUGGAGCCAACUGGGGUUAGUCUAACCCCAGACAGAGACCGUAAGGAAUAUUCCCAAGCAGCUGCUGAAACUCCCUUUGUUUCGGGGAAAUUCCCUGAUUGCUUAACCCCUCCCCAUUGCUGGCAGGAAAGCAUGGUGUCUGCUCCUCUCUUGGAGCUGAUGAGCUCUAAAACUAGGAACCCUUCCUCUGCCUUCUGGCGGCACUUACUUCUGUUCUUCACUAUCAGGAAACAAGAAAUCCGCCCCGAGACCCAACACCCCCAACUCCAGAUCUUCCCACCAGGUCUCAGGACAGCAUUGGAAACACCAGCUAUUUUACCAAGGCUUUGACUGGAAUGUCAUAUUUGAAAAGACUCAGAUAUGACCAGACAACUUAAAGGAACUAAGGUUGACUUUAUAAAACCUGGAGCUGUAAAGCCCUUUGGAACUGUUGGCCUGAUACCUUGCUUACAGAGUUCCCAGCAGCCUCACCAGGUGAGUAAAGAAUGUCGCUUCCUGGCAGGAUACUUUGGGAACCUCAGAAAGAGGAAUUCACCCAAAUCGACAGGUAUUGCAGGCAUGUCUGAUGGCAAGUAUGUGGCUUGGCUUCUGGCCUGGAGAGGCUACUAAAAGUUCAACCUAGAGUCUCCUUAUAAGAAUUUCCAGUAAAGCAGAUUCUAGAAGAUCUAUAUGAUUAUUCACUGUUCUUGCUGAACUUAUGUAAAUAAUUAGGCCAAGUUGGUUAAAACCGGACUUGUUUUUCAAAUAAAUUAAUCCUAAUUUGGCUAUCUCUGGAAAUGAGGGUUAUUUUAGAGAGAAAAAUUAUUUUAAUAACACGCCUUUAUGGAUGUUAAAUUCUAGAUUUGGUAGUCUUUAUAUGUUUGUUUACCUAAGCUAGACAACUUGAGGCAAACUUCAGAAGAAGAUUUAAAGUAUUUACAAAAAUGGGUUAAACUAGACUAUGAAGGGGACUGGGCUGAGACUAGAACACAAAAGUUACCUUGAAGACUAGGAAGAAAUUAGUAAGCCAAAUACAUCAGGGCACUCAUUUGGGGACAUGCAAGCUUAAGGAGCUUAUGGGCAAGCAGUUUCAGGUUUCUAAAUUAUGGCCUAUGGCUCAGGGUGUCGUUGAUAGAUGUGCUCAAUGUCAGGCGGUAAAUGUGGGAAGAACUAGAAUGGGAAGAGGGAAGAGAAAAAGAGGUAAGGAACCAGGAAUUUAUUGGGAAAUGGAUUUUACAGAGAUGAAACUGGGGAAAUAUGGACACAAGUAUAUAUUAGUUUUUGUGGAUACCUUUUAAGGCUGGGUGGAGACUUUUUCUGCCAAACAUGAAACGGCAGAAGUGGUAGCCAAAAAACUACUAGAGGUUUGGUUACCUCUGGGUCAAACAAUGGCCCUGCAUUUGUGAGUUCAAUCUCAUAGGCAUUGGCCAAGGCCAUGGGCACUAACUGAAAACUACAUUGUGCCUACCAGCCCCAGAGUUCUGGGCAAGUAGAGAGGAUGAACUGGACUCUUAAAGAGACCCUGACAAAGCUAAUUCUGGAGACUGGUGGUGGAUGGGUGGAUCACCUUCCUUUCGCCUUCCUCAGGGCAUGAGGUACACCCUGCUUAAACAAGGUGACCCCAUUUGAAAUAAUGUUCGGGAGACCCCCACCCCUACCCCGCUCUGCCCUCGGCUACAAGAGGUUGCCCUAGCAAAAAUGAUUGGUCAGUCUGUACUCCAGUCACUGCAGGCAUUACAGUCUGUCUAGCCCACACAGGGAUCUGAACUGCCCACACUGAGACAGAGACAGAGCUGGAACCACAUCCUUAUCAAUCUGGGGACUUGGUUUGGAUACGCUACCACCAAGUGGGAAACCUGGAGCUUCGCUGGAAGGAACCUUUACUGUCAUCCUGACCACCCCCACAGCAGUGAAAGUAGAAGGCAUCCGGGCCUGGAUUCAUGUGGGUCACCUCAAAGCGCUGAGGAUGAGGACACCCCCUACAGAUGGAAGCUGCUGCUGAUGGACCCCGCUGACCAUGGACUAAAGCUAAGACUCCAAAGACUAUGAGUUCAUUGUUGCUCCUAUUGUUACCUGUUUUUGUAAGAGCUUCUAAGUCACCUCAUAAGACAGAAAAGUAUAGGUGGGAAAUUAAACGAACGGAAUUAGGUUUAUACAAAGUGGUAAAUGGCUAACUCAUCAGCUGACUGUGCAAUUUAAUGUAACUUUAUGCAAAUUGGUACCCAUUAACCCCUGUUUAGAUGCCUUACAGUUUUACAUGUGCCCUAACACUGGGCCUCCCCAAUGCAGUGGGGGGAAAGGCCUGGGGGCCCACCAGAGUACUAUUGUGCACAACAGGGAUGCUAUAAAAGUUUGUUCAACUGGUCUCCGUGGACGACUUCCCUAAAAUCAGCAAUUGCAGGCCUCCUGGUUUUAUAAUUACUAAUGUUACUUUUUGGACCCUGCAUUAUAAACGCCCUAAUGUCAUUUGUACAAAAGAAAAUUAGAGCGAUAAAAAUGUUAGUCGUACAUGCUCAAUAUAACCCCUUACAACAGAAGAACAUAGAACUAGGCUAAAAGUCAAGGAUUUGACUAAUCAAAGAAAAGGGGGGAAUGUAAGGCCCUGCUUAGCCAGAGCGAGCUAUUUUGUUGUUUAUGCAGUAAACUUAGAUUGACCCUGCCCCCCCAAGAGGAACUUACUUAUAAACAAGUCUGGGAAACCAGAAAAAUAUGACUAACCAGCCACUGAUAACAAAGCCCAUAUACCAGGACAUGUCAGGUCAGGGGGAGGUAACAGAGCCCAGAAUACAAGGCUGAGCCAAGCCAGCUGGAGACAUCCAAUCAGGAAAGCACCUCCCUAACCUCCCAAGAAUGUGGGCCCUGCCUUUUGGGUGCCAAUUCUGACCAAAGUGAUAGGCUAGUUCAAAUAACUACUAUAGGGUGAAUUGUAAUUCAAUUGGCCACCGGUGUGUGGCCAGGCUCGACCACAUGGCCUUUACUCUAUAAAAGUUAGUCUGUGAGGCUGGGAGGGGUCGCCUCUUUGCAAGAGACGGCCGUGGCCGGUCAGUUUGAUUCUCCAUGCUUGGUGCGAAAUAAAGCUUUGCUUGACCUUCA
Molecule: long non-coding RNA, 3668 nt
Organism: Mustela lutreola (European mink)
Lineage: Eukaryota; Metazoa; Chordata; Mammalia; Carnivora; Mustelidae
Exons: 2
Source: RefSeq, a predicted model, not a curated record